Molecule: non-coding RNA, 236 nt
Organism: Oryza punctata
Lineage: Eukaryota; Viridiplantae; Streptophyta; Magnoliopsida; Poales; Poaceae
Source: Rfam
AAUAAGUGCAAUUUUGCAUUGUUUAUGUCCAACGUUUGACCGUUCGUCUUAUUUGAUUGGUAUUUUUUUCCUUUUAGCAAUAAUGUUUGCAAUGAUUAGUAUUUCUAUUGUUAUUAGAUGAUAAAACAUGAAUAAUACUUUAUGUGUGAUUAUUUUUUUUAAUUUUUUCAUAAUUUUUUUAAAUAAGACGGACGGUCAAACAUUGGAUAUGAACAGUGCAAAACUAUACACUUAUU